Molecule: ribosomal RNA, 253 nt
Filed under: uncultured bacterium
Lineage: Bacteria
Description: partial 16S ribosomal RNA
Rfam family: Bacterial small subunit ribosomal RNA
Source: RNAcentral
UACGUAGGGUCCAAGCGUUAAUCGGAAUUACUGGGCGUAAAGCGCGCGUAGGCGGCUUUGUAAGUUAGAGGUGAAAGCCCGGGGCUCAACCCCGGAAUUGCCUUUAAGACUGCAUCGCUUGAAUCCGGGAGAGGUGAGUGGAAUUCCGAGUGUAGAGGUGAAAUUCGUAGAUAUUCGGAAGAACACCAGUGGCGAAGGCGGCUCACUGGACCGGUAUUGACGCUGAGGUGCGAAAGCGUGGGGAGCAAACAGG